GGUCACUCGUGGUCACUGUUGGUCACUCGUGGUCACUGUUGGUCACUGUUGGUCACUCGUGGUCACUGUUGGUCACUGUUGGUCACUCCUGGUCGCUCGUGGUCACUGUGGGUCACUGGUGGUCCCUCCCGGUCACUUGUGGUCCCCCCCGGUCGCUCGUGGUCACUGUUGGUCACUCGUGGUCACUCCUGGUCACUCGUGGUCACUCCCGGUCCCUCCUGGUCACUCGUGGUCACUGUUGGUCACUCGUGGUCACUCCUGGUCACUCGUGGUCACUCCUGGUCGCUCGUGGUCACUGUUGGUCACUCCUGGUCCCCCCCGGUCGCUCGUGGUCACCGCGGCGCUCAGUGCCCGAUGACGCGGCGGAUCCAGGCGCUGGCCCGGCAGACGUUGCUGUAGACGCCCGGCUGGCCUCGCUGACCACAGACGGCCAAACCCCAGGAGACCACGCCCUGCAGGUACCCCCCGCAGACCAGCGGGCCCCCGGAGUCACCCUGCACAGGUGAGACACACCUGGGUUACACCUGGGUUACACCUGGGUUACAC
This 546-nucleotide long non-coding RNA is filed under the name Chloebia gouldiae (Gouldian finch). RNAcentral describes it as "Erythrura gouldiae (Gouldian finch) lncRNA (ENSEGOG00005017771.1)". The record is from RNAcentral. Lineage: Eukaryota; Metazoa; Chordata; Aves; Passeriformes; Passeridae.